UCCUGGUUAGCUCAGACGGCAGAGCGCUCCACUGGAAGUGGAGAAGUCCCUGGUUCGAUACUAGGUCCAGGCG
This 73-nucleotide transfer RNA is filed under the name Ixodes scapularis (black-legged tick). RNAcentral describes it as "tRNA-Ser for anticodon GGA". It matches the Rfam family "tRNA". From Rfam's summary of the family: Transfer RNA (tRNA) molecules are approximately 80 nucleotides in length. Their secondary structure includes four short double-helical elements and three loops (D, anti-codon, and T loops). The record is from RNAcentral. Lineage: Eukaryota; Metazoa; Arthropoda; Arachnida; Ixodida; Ixodidae.